Molecule: ribosomal RNA, 258 nt
Filed under: uncultured bacterium
Lineage: Bacteria
Description: partial 16S ribosomal RNA
Rfam family: Bacterial small subunit ribosomal RNA
Source: RNAcentral
UACGUAGGGUGCGAGCGUUGUCCGGAAUUAUUGGGCGUAAAGGGCUCGUAGGCGGUUUUGUCGCGUCGGGGAGUGAAAACGCCGUGCUUAACACGGCGCUUGCUUUCGAUACGGGGCAGGACUAGAGGUAUGCAGGGGGAGAACGGAAUUCCUGGUGUAGCGGUGGAAUGCGCAGAUAUCAGGAGGAACACCGGUGGCGAAGGCGGUUCUCUGGGCCUUACCUGACGCUGAGGAGCGAAAGCGUGGGGAGCGAACAGG